RNAcentral lists this ribosomal RNA (532 nucleotides) under Nasidius sp. RCP-2009. RNAcentral's name for it is "eukaryotic LSU rRNA". It matches the Rfam family "Eukaryotic large subunit ribosomal RNA", at positions 657 to 1149 of the family's 3401-position model. Lineage: Eukaryota; Metazoa; Arthropoda; Insecta; Orthoptera; Anostostomatidae. The record is from RNAcentral.
AAACACGGACCAAGGAGUCUAACAUGUGCGCGAGUCAUUGGGCUGUAAAACCCAGAGGCGCAAUGAAAGUGAAGGUCUCGCCUUGCGCGGACCGAGGGAAGAUGGAGCGCGCGUCAGCGUGUCUUCCGCAUUCCCGGGGCGUCUCGUUCUCAUUGCGAGUUGAGGCGCACCCAGAGCGUACACGUUGGGACCCGAAAGAUGGUGAACUAUGCCUGGCCAGGACGAAGUCAGGGGAAACCCUGAUGGAGGUCCGUAGCGAUUCUGACGUGCAAAUCGAUCGUCGGAGCUGGGUAUAGGGGCGAAAGACUAAUCGAACCAUCUAGUAGCUGGUUCCUCCGAAGUUUCCCUCAGGAUAGCUGGUGCUCUACCGAGUCUCAUCCGGUAAAGCGAAUGAUUAGAGGCCUUGGGGCCGAAACGACCUCAACCUAUUCUCAAACUUUAAAUGGGUGAGAUCUCCGGCUUGCUUAAAGCUUUGAAGCCGCGAGAGUUGGAUGGAUCGGAGUGCCAAGUGGGCCACUUUUGGUAAGCAGAA